GGUCCUGGGCCCAGUCUGUGCUGACUCAGUUGCCCUCCGUAUCUGGGGCUCUGGGCCAGAGGGUCACCAUCUCCUGCACUGGAAGCAGCUCCAGCAUUGGUGGUAAUUAUGUGAGCUGGUACCAACAACUCCCAGGAAAAGCCCCCAGAACCAUCAUCUAUGAUAAUAGCGACCGAGCAUCAGGGGUCCCGGAUCGAUUCUCUGGCUCCAAGUCUGGCAGCUCAGGCACCCUGACCAUCACUGGGCUCCAGGCUGAGGAUGAGGCUGAGUAUUAUUGUGCAUCGUGGGAUGAUAGUCUCAGUGCUCACACAGUGCUCCUGGCCUGUGGGGAA
Neomonachus schauinslandi (Hawaiian monk seal) is the source of this 332-nucleotide non-coding RNA. NCBI's taxonomy places the organism in Eukaryota, Metazoa, Chordata, Mammalia, Carnivora, Phocidae. The record is from the annotation of a RefSeq genome assembly.